AGCAGGGUCAGCUAACUCAAGCUCUUGGGCCCAUACCCCAAACAUGCAGGUUAAAAUCCUGCCUCUGCUA
This 70-nucleotide transfer RNA is filed under the name Megalaspis cordyla (torpedo scad). RNAcentral's name for it is "tRNA-Met". It matches the Rfam family "tRNA". From Rfam's summary of the family: Transfer RNA (tRNA) molecules are approximately 80 nucleotides in length. Their secondary structure includes four short double-helical elements and three loops (D, anti-codon, and T loops). Further hydrogen bonds mediate the characteristic L-shaped molecular structure. tRNAs have two regions of fundamental functional importance: the anti-codon, which is responsible for specific mRNA codon recognition, and the 3' end, to which the tRNAs corresponding amino acid is attached (by aminoacyl-tRNA synthetases). tRNAs cope with the degeneracy of the genetic code in two manners: having more than one tRNA (with a specific anti-codon) for a particular amino acid; and 'wobble' base-pairing, i.e. permitting non-standard base-pairing at the 3rd anti-codon position. The record is from RNAcentral. Lineage: Eukaryota; Metazoa; Chordata; Actinopteri; Carangiformes; Carangidae.